AGCGAACGUUAGCGGCGGGCUUAACACAUGCAAGUCGAACGAGAAUGGGGGAGCAAUCCCUCUAGUAAAGUGGCGGACGGGUGCGUAACACGUGGACAAUCUACCUUCCGGCGGGGGACAACAGUUCGAAAGGACUGCUAAUACCGCGUACGUCGGCGGGGGCUCCGGCCUCUGUCGAGAAAGAUGGCCAAUCCUUGGAAGCUGUCACCGGAAGAUGAGUCCGCGGCCCAUCAGGUAGUUGGUGAGGUAGCGGCUCACCAAGCCAAAGACGGGUAGCUGGUCUGAGAGGAUGAUCAGCCACACUGGGACUGCGACACGGCCCAGACUCCUACGGGAGGCAG
RNAcentral lists this ribosomal RNA (341 nucleotides) under uncultured Pseudomonadota bacterium. RNAcentral's name for it is "bacterial SSU rRNA". It matches the Rfam family "Bacterial small subunit ribosomal RNA", at positions 29 to 351 of the family's 1533-position model. The record is from RNAcentral. Lineage: Bacteria; Pseudomonadati; Pseudomonadota.